This is a long non-coding RNA of Bombus huntii, 1770 nucleotides long. RefSeq lists it as uncharacterized. The record is from RefSeq and is a predicted model, not a curated record. NCBI's taxonomy places the organism in Eukaryota, Metazoa, Arthropoda, Insecta, Hymenoptera, Apidae. The transcript is spliced from 2 exons.
GCAUAAUUAAACGAUAUUAUCGGUGAAAUUUUACAAGUCACGAGUUACGAGUUGCUAGCAUCGAUGAGUUUGAAGAGGAGUAGCUACGAGGAUGAAAAUUAGAGAGGAAAAUGCGCCUGUCUAUACAUCGUGGCUCUAAAAUCGUGAUACAAUUGAAGUGGCGGAGAUUAUACGACUAACUUUUUGAAAAUCAACGUAAUUUUAUUGUUCUGGAUUUUCUGCUUACUUUCAACCAUACAAUUUCUCUGACAUCCAACUGUAUGUGUAUAGCAACUGGUGAAUAAUUGUAUAUCGUAAUAACUAAAUUUGAUAUUUCCUUGGCCCGUUUGACGCGUAGUAUCGUAAAACGAUCGGUUGCCAACUCGGUUCUAAUUAUACUCCUCAACGCGUGUUCUUUCCUCUUCAUCUACAAACCUCUCUGAUCUUCUCCCUGCGAACCUCUCUGUUCUUCUCCCUACAAAGGUGGUUAUCACCGUUAUCAGGAUCACCGUCUCAAGACGAAAUCCAGUCGCGAUUCUCGACACGAGCCAGCGGAGGAUGAAAUUUCCCGUGGAUCUCAUUAAUAUCCUGCCGUUCUAUUUCGCGACGGUUGGUAGACGCUUGUACACGCGCAUCGAUCCCGUCCAAUGCAAACCGCCGCGUAUCAGCUGCCAUGCGCAUACAUACAUUAUGCGAGUGACACGCUCGGCAUGCAACACAGCGGAUAGAUCCAUGCGGGCAGCGCGACACUGCGCCUAUGUAAUCGAUCUAGAAAGCAACCGAUCGAUCGGCGAUCCGUGACCGUGUAAUAAAGCGACGGUGAGAAUCUGGUAACGUCGAUCGAUACCGACACCAGCCUGCAGCUGAACCAACCACCGAGCUUUGUUCCUGUCUGCGUGCUUGAUUAUUAUACGACAGUCCUACAGCAAUAUUGACUCGUGCUUAACGAUUCGCCGGCACUCGUAGGCUUCUUAGUCGUUUGCUUUAAAAUAUAAUCGGGCAGAGCGUUGCUCGACUAGUUAGUUGAUUCGAGUUUAUCCCCCGAGAUCAUUCGGUCCCGCGCGUUUGCGUUUCACGCGCCCUGUGUGUGUGUCUUUCUCCACGGAAGUUCGUUACGCGACCCGCUUGGUACUUUAAUUCGAGUUGCAGCGAACAUGGAUCAGCAGCGGUCAGACACGGGUAGUUUCGUUCUACUGGACAGGCUGAAAGAAGCGGAAAAAGAGGCAGCCGGUUUCACGAGCUAAGGCGGCGCAUCGAGCGUGUAGCCUUUUAAAAUUAGCUGUUGCUUGUGAAUGGAAUUAAAUGGGAAUGGGAAGGGGAGAAGGAGGUGGCCCGGCAACAGAAACGAAGAAACGAAAGGAAGAGAGAGAGAGAGAGGAAGGAGUCGGGAGAUUGCCGCAGAUUAAACCACUUUAACAGAGGAAACACGGAAAAGAAGCAGAGGAGAGUGGCAUAAGCUUUUCCGUACGACCUGCAUCCGGAAAACUCGGUCUAAAGCGCACGGCAAAUAGCAGGCCAAACUAACGCGAUGAAAGAGUAGUUAAUCUUACCAGGUGAAUCAGAGAGCCGCUAAAAAUAGCAAAGGUGCAUUCGACAGUUGCGAACUACGCGUUCCAAGCUAUUACCUCCUUUUCACCAAAUUUAGAUUAUUUCUGUCGAAGUUUACGUAUUCUCUUUUGUUACGCUCGAUCGGAGCGUAACUCUGAUCGAAUGCCCAAAACAGGACUUGUAAAUGUAAAUUACAUGGAUAAAAGAUAAUAAUAUAAGUCGACGUUUGUUUUUCUUUUUUCA